Long non-coding RNA from Schistocerca serialis cubense, 220 nucleotides. RefSeq lists it as uncharacterized. NCBI's taxonomy places the organism in Eukaryota, Metazoa, Arthropoda, Insecta, Orthoptera, Acrididae. The record is from RefSeq and is a predicted model, not a curated record. The transcript has 3 exons.
GCGGAGGGCCAGCAGUUCCAGCAGGUUGCAGGACGCUGAACGAGGACUCUGUACCAGCACUCAGCGCCAGCCACCGAGCAGCUCAAACGCACAACGUCAAGACAGACACGGCAGUCGCUCGAAGAUGUACGCCCGCACGCUGCUGGCAGUGUGCGCAGCAGCGGCUGUGGCCACCGGCUGCGCUGCGGCCCCCGCCCCCGCCGCCACCGCCGCCCCCGCC